GGAGCUUUAGCCAAGCGGUAAGGCAAGGGACUGCAACUCCCUGAUCCCCGGUUCAAAUCCGGGAGGCUCCUCCA
RNAcentral lists this transfer RNA (74 nucleotides) under bacterium. Its description in RNAcentral is "tRNA-Cys". It matches the Rfam family "tRNA". From Rfam's summary of the family: Transfer RNA (tRNA) molecules are approximately 80 nucleotides in length. Their secondary structure includes four short double-helical elements and three loops (D, anti-codon, and T loops). Further hydrogen bonds mediate the characteristic L-shaped molecular structure. tRNAs have two regions of fundamental functional importance: the anti-codon, which is responsible for specific mRNA codon recognition, and the 3' end, to which the tRNAs corresponding amino acid is attached (by aminoacyl-tRNA synthetases). tRNAs cope with the degeneracy of the genetic code in two manners: having more than one tRNA (with a specific anti-codon) for a particular amino acid; and 'wobble' base-pairing, i.e. permitting non-standard base-pairing at the 3rd anti-codon position. The record is from RNAcentral.